GGCUCUGUGGCGCAAUGGAUAGCGCGUUGGACUUCUAGUCAGGCACGUGAGAUGCAAUUCAAAGGUUGUGGGUUCGAGUCCCACCAGAGUCG
Larimichthys crocea (large yellow croaker) is the source of this 92-nucleotide non-coding RNA. The record is from Rfam. Lineage: Eukaryota; Metazoa; Chordata; Actinopteri; Sciaenidae.